Long non-coding RNA from Pan paniscus (pygmy chimpanzee), 357 nucleotides. NCBI's taxonomy places the organism in Eukaryota, Metazoa, Chordata, Mammalia, Primates, Hominidae. The record is from Ensembl.
GAGAAUGGGGCAAAUAACUUUUCUGUUUUUCUGUUGUUUAGAAAAUUUGAUAAAAAUUGGGAUGAAGUGCUGAUUGAACAAGUAUAGUUCAGAUGCCUGGGAGCAGUUAAGAAUAAAGAAAAAUGAUGGGAAGCUUCCUGUGGCUGUCUAACCUCUGCAAGAUUAAAAGGAGUUCUGGAAGUACUCACUGCAGAGACAAAUGGAAAUGAGUCCACUCUAGGAAGAAGAAUAACUGGAAGCUUGAGCUGUGUAAAUGUGACUUGGAAAUGUGACUUCAGGAGAAAGAACCAGGUUUGACACUGUGGGCUAAUCUUAAACAGGGACAGUAAUUGGAGCAGAAUGGCCACAAAUGAGCCG